This is a non-coding RNA of Macaca mulatta (Rhesus monkey), 274 nucleotides long. Lineage: Eukaryota; Metazoa; Chordata; Mammalia; Primates; Cercopithecidae. The record is from RefSeq and is a predicted model, not a curated record.
CUCUCUGCAGAGGCAGCAAGGGGCAGUCACUAUCAACACUCACUACCAACAUUCAGCAUGAAGCAGAAUGGACUUGUGGGCUCGCCAACAAGUGUAUGGAAGUGUAGCCCCAGCUCCAUGGGCUCAUCCAGUGGCAGGUGCCUCCCAGGGAAGUGGAAGAGGCUGCGUGACGGUGAGGACCACUUGCACUUCCUGCCCACGGCAGCCUCCGCCAACAGCGCAUCCAUGUCUUCUGGCUCCUCUGUGAUCUCCAGGCCUGCGUGGGGGCCCAUUU